RNAcentral lists this ribosomal RNA (253 nucleotides) under uncultured bacterium. RNAcentral's name for it is "partial 16S ribosomal RNA". It matches the Rfam family "Bacterial small subunit ribosomal RNA", at positions 524 to 776 of the family's 1533-position model. The record is from RNAcentral.
UACGAGGGGGGCAAGCGUUGUUCGGAAUUAUUGGGCGUAAAGGGUGCGUAGGCGGUUUUGUAAGUCUUGUGUGAAAUCUUCAGGCUCAACUUGAAGACUGCACGAGAAACUGCAGGGCUUGAGUGUGGGAGAGGUGAGUGGAAUUCCCAGUGUAGCGGUGAAAUGCGUAGAUAUUGGGAGGAACACCAGUGGCGAAGGCGGCUCACUGGACCGGUACUGACGCUGAAGCGCGAAAGCGUGGGGAGCAAACGGG